Molecule: microRNA precursor, 87 nt
Filed under: Dichanthelium oligosanthes
Lineage: Eukaryota; Viridiplantae; Streptophyta; Magnoliopsida; Poales; Poaceae
Description: mir-395 microRNA precursor family
Rfam family: mir-395 microRNA precursor family
About the family: mir-395 was identified in both Arabidopsis thaliana and Oryza sativa computationally and was later experimentally verified. mir-395 is thought to target mRNAs coding for ATP sulphurylases. The mature sequence is excised from the 3' arm of the hairpin.
Source: Rfam by way of RNAcentral
GUAUUGCCAGGAGUUCCCUACAAGCACUUCACAAGGCCUAAACUUUAGGUCUCUUUGUGAAGUGUUUGGGGGAACUCUUGGUGCCAC